AAUGAACGUUGGCGGCAUGGAUUAGGCAUGCAAGUCGAGCGAGAAGAGUUUUGAAGCUUGCUUUAGAACUCGGACAGCGGCGAAAGGGAGAGUAACGCGUAGUUAUGUGCCCUAGGGUCCGGAAUAGCCACGGGAAACUGUGGGUAAUGCCGGAUAAUAUCCCCGGAUCAAAGGUGUGAUUCCGCCCUAGGAGCAGACUGCGUCCUACUAGCUAGUUGGUGGGGUAAUGGCCUACCAAGGCAACGAUGGGUAGCGGGUGUGAGAGCAUGACCCGUCUCACUGGGACUGAGAGACGGCCCAGACACCUACGGGUGGCUGCAGUCGAGAAUCUUCGGCAAUGGGCGAAAGCCUGACCGAGCGAUGCCGCGUGCGGGAUGAAGGCCCUCGGGUUGUAAACCGCUGUCGUAGGGGAGGAAGGUUCCGUGAAGAGCGGAAUUUGACCUAUCCUAGGAGGAAGUACGGGCUAAGUUCGUGCCAGCAGCCGCCGUAA
Molecule: ribosomal RNA, 490 nt
Filed under: uncultured bacterium
Lineage: Bacteria
Description: partial 16S ribosomal RNA
Rfam family: Bacterial small subunit ribosomal RNA
Source: RNAcentral